GAUGAACGCUGACAGAAUGCUUAACACAUGCAAGUCAACUUGAACUUCGGUUUGGGUGGCGGACGGGUGAGUAACGCGUAAAGAACUUGCCUCACAGCUAGGGACAACAUUUGGAAACGAAUGCUAAUACCUGAUAUUAUGAUUUUAGGGCAUCCUAGAAUUAUGAAAGCUAUAUGCGCUGUGAGAGAGCUUUGCGUCCCAUUAGCUAGUUGGAGAGGUAACGGCUCACCAAGGCGAUGAUGGGUAGCCGGCCUGAGAGGGUGAACAGCCACAAGGGGACUGAGACACGGCCCUUACUCCUACGGGAGGCAGCAGUGGGGAAUAUUGGACAAUGGACCAAGAGUCUGAUCCAGCAAUUCUGUGUGCACGAUGAAGUUUUUCGGAAUGUAAAGUGCUUUCAGUUGGGAAGAAAAAAAUGACGGUACCAACAGAAGAAGUGACGGCUAAAUACGUG
Molecule: ribosomal RNA, 454 nt
Filed under: uncultured bacterium
Lineage: Bacteria
Description: partial 16S ribosomal RNA
Rfam family: Bacterial small subunit ribosomal RNA
Source: RNAcentral